GACGAACGCUGGCGGCGUGCUUAACACAUGCAAGUCGAACGAAGAGCGAUGGAAGCUUGCUUCUAUCAAUCUUAGUGGCGAACGGGUGAGUAACGCGUAAUCAACCUGCCCUUCAGAGGGGGACAACAGUUGGAAACGACUGCUAAUACCGCAUACGCUCUAACCACGGCAUCGAGGAUAGAUGAAAGGUGGCCUCUACAUGUAAGCCAUCACUGAAGGAGGGGAUUGCGUCUGAUUAGCUAGUUGGAGGGGUAACGGCCCACCAAGGCGAUGAUCAGUAGCCGGUCUGAGAGGAUGAGCGGCCACAUUGGGACUGAGACACGGCCCAGACUCCUACGGGAGGCAGCAGUGGGGAAUCUUCCGCAAUGGACGAGAGUCUGACGGAGCAACGCCGCGUGAGUGAUGACGGCCUUCGGGUUGUAAAGCUCGGUUAAUCGGGACGAAAGGCCUUCUUGCGAAUAGUGAGAAGGAUUGACGGUACCGGAAUAGAAAGCCACGGCUAACUACGUG
This 510-nucleotide ribosomal RNA is filed under the name uncultured bacterium. RNAcentral describes it as "partial 16S ribosomal RNA". It matches the Rfam family "Bacterial small subunit ribosomal RNA", at positions 28 to 507 of the family's 1533-position model. The record is from RNAcentral.